UACGUAGGUGGCAAGCGUUGUCCGGAUUUACUGGGCGUAAAGGGCGUGCAGGCGGUUUGUUAAGUCUAGGGUGAAAGCUCCCGGCUCAACUGGGAGAGGUCCUUGGAUACUGGCGAACUUGAGGGAUGCAGAGGAAAGUGGAAUUCCCGGUGUAGUGGUGAAAUGCGUAGAUAUCGGGAGGAACACCAGUGGCGAAGGCGGCCCCCUGGUUGGAUACUGACGCUGAUACGCGAAAGCGUGGGGAGCAAACAGG
Molecule: ribosomal RNA, 253 nt
Filed under: uncultured bacterium
Lineage: Bacteria
Description: partial 16S ribosomal RNA
Rfam family: Bacterial small subunit ribosomal RNA
Source: RNAcentral